GGAUACUUCUGAUUUCCAUGCAGACAUGCUGUGGAUGAAGUCAUCUAGAUCCCCUUUCUCAUUUUUAAGGGACAUCUGAUCCUCGUAGCUACUUCUUUUGAAGCAAUGAAUGAAGGUGGCUUGCAAGAUGUGCUCUGAGCCUUUUAUCUCAACUAUCAAAAAGCUCCAGUGCCUCUUGACUUCAGCUAGAGAGAGACACCAGGACUCGCAGCCUGGGUGACGUGGGAGCAGGGGCCUGAGCCUGGCCCCAGAGCACAUAUGCUCCUUGUCAGGGCUGUCCUGCAUGUUUUCCUCUGGACACCAGCGCAUGCUUCCUAUCCUGCGUUAAACAGUGUUAGAAAACCUGCUGUUCCUGGACAUGCUAAAGCUGUGCCAGGAGGAGCAACACACAGCAUCUGACUGUCUGCUCCAGGCCAAGGCAGCGUCCCGAAAGAAAAGCAGGUGGCCAUCACAUACUCAUCACUGUUUUCACUACCAACCUCUCAUCUUUGAACGGAAAGAAACCCCACAACCGCGCAUGGGAAGCUCUGAGAAAUAGGUAGGUGCAUAACUGAUAAGCUGGUUAUUAAUGCAAAAUCAUUCACCCAAGAAAAAAGGAACAAAUGCAACUUCACAGCAGCUC
Molecule: long non-coding RNA, 622 nt
Filed under: Struthio camelus australis
Lineage: Eukaryota; Metazoa; Chordata; Aves; Struthioniformes; Struthionidae
Description: lncRNA (ENSSCUG00000016812.1)
Source: RNAcentral